AUGUCUCAUUCGUACACUAAGGUUCCUCCGCGCCGUCCCCACCCACCUGGCGACUGCUCGCUACGUUUCGUUAGCC
Molecule: small RNA, 76 nt
Filed under: Xanthomonas fragariae
Lineage: Bacteria; Pseudomonadati; Pseudomonadota; Gammaproteobacteria; Lysobacterales; Lysobacteraceae
Description: sX9 sRNA
Rfam family: Xanthomonas sRNA sX9
Source: RNAcentral